UAAGGAAUAUUGGUCAAUGGACGCAAGUCUGAACCAGCCAUGCCGCGUGGAGGAUUAAGGCCCUCUGGGUUGUAAACUCCUUUUAUCUGGGAAGAAAUGUACUUUUUCUUGAGUACUUGACGGUACCAGAGGAAUAAGCACCGGCUAACUCCGUGCCAGCAGCCGCGGUAAUACGGAGGGUGCAAGCGUUAUCCGGAUUCACUGGGUUUAAAGGGUGCGUAGGUGGGCAGGUAAGUCAGUGGUGAAAUCUCCGGGCUUAACCCGGAAACGGCCGUUGAGACUAUUUGUCUUGAAAAUUGGGGAGGUAAGCGUAAUAUGUCAUGUAGCGGUGAAAUGCUGAGAUAUGACAUAGAACACCAAUUGCGAAGGCAGCUUACUACACAAUCAUUGACGCUGGGGCACGAAAGCGUGGGG
This 414-nucleotide ribosomal RNA is filed under the name uncultured bacterium. RNAcentral describes it as "bacterial SSU rRNA". It matches the Rfam family "Bacterial small subunit ribosomal RNA", at positions 355 to 766 of the family's 1533-position model. The record is from RNAcentral.